GGCAAAUUCUGUAGCUCAGUUUUAGAGCCUCUGCUUUGCAGGCAGGAGGUCCCAGGUUCAAUCCCUGGCACUUCCG
This is a non-coding RNA of Podarcis lilfordi (Lilford's wall lizard), 76 nucleotides long. The record is from the annotation of a GenBank genome assembly. Lineage: Eukaryota; Metazoa; Chordata; Lepidosauria; Squamata; Lacertidae.